This is a long non-coding RNA of Homo sapiens (human), 667 nucleotides long. NCBI's taxonomy places the organism in Eukaryota, Metazoa, Chordata, Mammalia, Primates, Hominidae. The record is from Ensembl.
UAGAGAUGGAGUUUCACCAUGUUGCCCAGGCUGGUUUUGAACUCCAGGGCUCAGGCCCACCUCCACCUCCCAAAGUGCUGGGAUUAUAGGUAUGGGCCACUGUGCCCAGCCCUAUGAAGAAUAUCUUCAAAGUAUAUAAAAUACUGCUUUUUCAAAAUAGGUACAACCUCUUCAUCUUCACAACAACGAAUAAUGUAGCUGGGACAAGUAUCAGAAUGAUUCUCACUGUACAGAUGAAGAAACUCAGUCUGCGUGCAUGGUAUUUGCCCAAGGUCAUACAGGUCAUUAAGAGAAAGUGGGAAUACAAUCUAGGUCUCUACUAGUGUGUCAUUUUGUCUUUAUCAAAAAUAAAAAUAAAUUCAGAUGGAAUUAGGGUAAAAAAAAUUCUUGUGUCCAUUAAUAGCAGAAAUAGCUUUGUUAUUCAUUUAAAUCUUUAUAAUGACAGUUAUAUUAAUCUAAAAACUUGUCUGCUAACCAUUGUAUUAAUUUGGUAAGAGAAAUUCCAACCAGAAAAGCAUUCUAGUCAAUAUUUAAAGAAAGAACAAUAUUAGAUACAUUCUAGUAAAGCAAUUAUUUUAAUAAAUUAAGAAAGCAAAUAAAAACCUUUGUAUUUAAGGUCUGUAUCACAUAAUUUAUAAUAAUGAAUUAAAAUGACAGUAAAUAUGUA